CUCUCACUUUCUAACCCUGUGCACUUGUUUGGGAUAGUAACUCUCGCAAGAGAGCGAACUCCUAUUCACUUAUAAACACAAAGUCUAUGAAUGUAUUAAAUUUUAUAACAAAAUAAAACUUUCAACAACGGAUCUCUUGGCUCUCGCAUCGAUGAAGAACGCAGCGAAAUGCGAUAAGUAAUGUGAAUUGCAGAAUUCAGUGAAUCAUCGAAUCUUUGAACGCACCUUGCGCUCCAUGGUAUUCCGUGGAGCAUGCCUGUUUGAGUGUCAUGAAUACUUCAACCCUCCUCUUUCUUAAUGAUUGAAGAGGUGUUUGGUUUCUGAGCGCUGCUGGCCUUUACGGUCUAGCUCGUUCGUAAUGCAUUAGCAUCCGCAAUCGAACUUCGGAUUGACUUGGCGUAAUAGACUAUUCGCUGAGGAAUUCUAGUCUUCGGACUAGAGCCGGGUUGGGUUAAAGGAAGCUUCUAAUCAGAAUGUCUACAUUUUAAGAUUAGAUCUCAAAUCAGGUAGGACUACCCGCUGAACUUAAGCAU
RNAcentral lists this ribosomal RNA (533 nucleotides) under Rhodotorula mucilaginosa. Its description in RNAcentral is "eukaryotic LSU rRNA". The stretch from base 117 to 270 matches the Rfam family "5.8S ribosomal RNA". Lineage: Eukaryota; Fungi; Basidiomycota; Microbotryomycetes; Sporidiobolales; Sporidiobolaceae. The record is from RNAcentral.